GACGAAAGCUGGCGGCAUGCCUAACACAUGCAAGUCGAACGAAAAGUAGCAAUAUUUUAGUGGCGAACGGGUGAGUAACACUUGAGCAACCUACCUUAUACAUCGGGAUAACGCCUAGAAAUGGGUGCUAAUACCGAGUAAGACCACAGUAUGACAUCAUACAGGGGUCAAAGUUCAGGCGGUAUAAGAUGGGCUCGAGUCCAAUUAGCUAGAUGGUGAGAUAACAGCCCACCAUGGCGACGAUUGGUAGCCGGCCUGAGAGGGUGAUCGGCCACACUGGGACUGAGACACGGCCCAGACUCCUACGGGAGGCAGCAGUGGGGAAUAUUGGACAAUGGGCGCAAGCCUGAUCCAGCAAUGCCGCGUGCAGGAUGAAGGCCUUCGGUUGUAAACUGCUUUGUUACGGAACGAACGGUACUGCCCUAACUACGUGGGCGUAAUGACGGUACCGUAAGAAUAAGACACCGGCUAACUACGUGCCAGCAGCCGCGGUAA
This 495-nucleotide ribosomal RNA is filed under the name uncultured bacterium. Its description in RNAcentral is "bacterial SSU rRNA". It matches the Rfam family "Bacterial small subunit ribosomal RNA", at positions 28 to 523 of the family's 1533-position model. The record is from RNAcentral.